UCAAGUUGAUCCUGCUUGAGGCUGCCGCUAUUGGGAUCCGAUUAAGCCAUGCAAGUCUAAAGGGAGUUUACUCCCUUGGCAAACUGCUCAGUAACACGUAGACAAUCUACCCUCAUGUGGAGGAUAACCUCGGGAAACUGAGGAUAAUACUCCAUAGGCCUUUGGUACUGGAAUGUCCAAAGGCUCAAAGCUUUCGCGCGUGAGGAUGGGUCUGCGGUCGAUUAGCCUGUAGGUAGUGUAAUGGACUACCUAAGCUAUAAUCGAUAGGGGUCGUGGGAGCGAUUGCCCCGAGACGGAAUCUUAGACACUAUUCCGAGCCUUACGGGGUGCAGCAGGCGCGAAACCUUUACAAUGUGCGAAAGUGCGAUAAGGGGAUCUCAAGUGUGCUUGUACCACAAGUACUUUUCUAGAGUGUAAAUUACUCUGGGAAUAAAGGGUGGGUAAGACCAGUGCCAGCCGCCGCGGUAACACUGGCAUCCUAAGUGGCAGUCACCAUUACUGGGCUUAAAGCGUCCGUAGCUCGUUCGAAGGGUUCCUAGUGAAAUCCUGCGGCUUAACCGUAGGGCUUGCUGGGAAAACUAGCGAACUAGAGGAUGGGAGAGGCUAGAGGUACUUUUUGGGUAGGGGUGAAAUCCUAUAAUCCUAAAAGGACCAACAGUGGCGAAGGCGUCUAGCAUGAACAUGCCUGACGGUGAGGGACGAAAGCCAGGGUCGCGAAACGGAUUAGAUACCCGUGUAGUCCUGGCCGUAAACGAUGCUGACUAGGUGGGGCGUGACCUUCGUGGUCAUGCUAUGCCGAAGAGAAAUCGUUAAGUCAGCCGCCUGGGGAGUACGUUCGCAAGAAUGAAACUUAAAGGAAUUGACGGGGGAGCACUACAAGGAGUGGAAGCUGCGGUUUAAUUAGAUUCAACGCUGGACAACUCACCGGAGGCGACAGCAGGAUGAAGGACAGGCUGAUAGUCUUUCCGAACGCGCUGAGAGGAGGUGCAUGGCCGUCGUCAGCUCGUGCCGUAAGGUGUUCGGUUAAGUCCGAAAACGAGCGAGACCCACGUCCUUAUUUGCCAUCUGUCUUUCCGAAGGCAGAGCACAAUAAGGAGACCGCCCACUAUAAGUGGGAGGAAGGGGUGGGCAACGAUAGGUCCGCAUGCCCCGAAUCUUCCGGGCUACACGCGUCUUACAAUGGUCGGCACAAUGAGUUGCAACCCCGAAAGGGGGAGCUAAUCUCGAAAGCCGAUCUUAGUACGGAUCGAGGGUUGGAACUCACCCUCGUGAAGCUGGAAUCCCUAGUAAUCGCAACUCAUUAUAUUGCGGUGAAUACGUCCCUGCUCCUUGCACACACUGUCCGUCACUCCAACCAAGCAGGGUCUAGAUAAGGUUUGGCCUUAUGGCUAGUUCAAAUCUGGGUUCUGUGAGGGGGGGGAAGUCGUAGCAAGGUA
Molecule: ribosomal RNA, 1436 nt
Filed under: metagenome
Description: bacterial SSU rRNA
Rfam family: Archaeal small subunit ribosomal RNA
Source: RNAcentral